GAUGAACGCUGACAGAAUGCUUAACACAUGCAAGUCGAUUCGAUUUACCUUCGGGUAUUGAGGAUGGCGGACGGGUGAGUAACGCGUAAGGAACUUGCCUCUUGGACUGGGACAACUGUUGGAAACGACAGCUAAUACCGGAUAUUAUGAGAUUCUCGCAUGGGAAACUUAUGAAAGCUAUAUGCGCCAAGAGAGAGCCUUGCGUUCCAUUAGCUAGUUGGUGGGGUAAUGGCCCACCAAGGCGACGAUGGAUAGCCGGCCUGAGAGGGUGAACGGCCACAAGGGGACUGAGACACGGCCCUUACUCCUACGGGAGGCAGCAGUGGGAAUAUUGGACAAUGGGCCACAAGCCUGAUCCAGCAAUUCUGUGUGCACGAUGAAGGUCUUCGGAUCGUAAAGUGCUUUCAGUUGGGAAGAAGAAAGUGACGGUACC
This 433-nucleotide ribosomal RNA is filed under the name uncultured bacterium. RNAcentral's name for it is "bacterial SSU rRNA". It matches the Rfam family "Bacterial small subunit ribosomal RNA", at positions 28 to 479 of the family's 1533-position model. The record is from RNAcentral.